GGGUUGUGAGGUUAAGCGACUAAGCGUACACGGUGGAUGCCCUGGCAGUCAGAGGCGAUGAAGGGCGUGCUAAUCUGCGAUAAGCGCCGGUAAGGUGAUAUGAACCGUUAUAACCGGCGAUACCCGAAUGGGGAAACCCAGUGUGACUCGUCACACUAUCAUUAACUGAAUCCAUAGGUUAAUGAGGCGAACCGGGGGAACUGAAACAUCUAAGUACCCCGAGGAAAAGAAAUCAACCGAGAUUCCCCCAGUAGCGGCGAGCGAACGGGGAGGAGCCCAGAGCCUGAAUCAGCAUGUGUGUUAGUGGAAGCGUCUGGAAAGGCGCGCGAUACAGGGUGACAGCCCCGUACACAAAAGCGCAUGUGCUGUGAGCUCGAUGAGUAGGGCGGGACACGUGGUAUCCUGUCUGAAUAUGGGGGGACCAUCCUCCAAGGCUAAAUACUCCUGACUGACCGAUAGUGAACCAGUACCGUGAGGGAAAGGCGAAAAGAACCCCGGCGAGGGGAGUGAAAAAGAACCUGAAACCGUGUACGUACAAGCAGUGGGAGCCCCACCACUAAGCCAGUGGUGAACUCCACAUACGCAUCCUUUGCUGAGGAUACGGUUAACGGAGCGAAAGCGACGUUCAACCGCAAAAGAAGCAGAGGGGGCUUAGUGGUGGGGUGACUGCGUACCUUUUGUAUAAUGGGUCAGCGACUUAUAUUCUGUAGCAAGGUUAACCGAAUAGGGGAGCCGGAGGGAAACCGAGUCUUAAUUGGGCGUUAAGUUGCAGGGUAUAGACCCGAAACCCGGUGAUCUAGCCAUGGGCAGGUUGAAGGUUGGGUAACACUAACUGGAGGACCGAACCGACUAAUGUUGAAAAAUUAGCGGAUGACCUGUGGCUGGGGGUGAAAGGCCAAUCAAACCGGGAGAUAGCUGGUUCUCCCCGAAAGCUAUUUAGGUAGCGCCUCGUGAAUUCAUCUCCGGGGGUAGAGCACUGUUUCGGCUAGGGGGCCAUCCCGGCUUACCAACCCGAUGCAAACUGCGAAUACCGGAGAAUGUUAUCACGGGAGACACACGGCGGGUGCUAACGUCCGUCGUGAAGAGGGAAACAACCCAGACCGCCAGCUAAGGUCCCAAAGUCAUGGUUAAGUGGGAAACGAUGUGGGAAGGCCCAGACAGCCAGGAUGUUGGCUUAGAAGCAGCCAUCAUUUAAAGAAAGCGUAAUAGCUCACUGGUCGAGUCGGCCUGCGCGGAAGAUGUAACGGGGCUAAACCAUGCACCGAAGCUGCGGCAGCGACGUUUAUGCGUUGUUGGGUAGGGGAGCGUUCUGUAAGCCUGCGAAGGUGGCCUGUGAGGGUUGCUGGAGGUAUCAGAAGUGCGAAUGCUGACAUAAGUAACGAUAAAGCGGGUGAAAAGCCCGCUCGCCGGAAGACCAAGGGUUCCUGUCCAACGUUAAUCGGGGCAGGGUGAGUCGACCCCUAAGGCGAGGCCGAAAGGCGUAGUCGAUGGGAAACGGGUUAAUAUUCCCGUACUUGGUGUUACUGCGAAGGGGGGACGGAGAAGGCUAUGUUGGCCGGGCGACGGUUGUCCCGGUUUAAGCGUGUAGGUGUGUGUUCCAGGUAAAUCCGGUUCACUUUAACACUGAGGCGUGAUGACGAGGCACUACGGUGCUGAAGCAACAAAUGCCCUGCUUCCAGGAAAAGCCUCUAAGCAUCAGGUAACAUCAAAUCGUACCCCAAACCGACACAGGUGGUCAGGUAGAGAAUACCAAGGCGCUUGAGAGAACUCGGGUGAAGGAACUAGGCAAAAUGGUGCCGUAACUUCGGGAGAAGGCACGCUGACACGUAGGUGAAGUGAUUUACUCAUGGAGCUGAAGUCAGUCGAAGAUACCAGCUGGCUGCAACUGUUUAUUAAAAACACAGCACUGUGCAAACACGAAAGUGGACGUAUACGGUGUGACGCCUGCCCGGUGCCGGAAGGUUAAUUGAUGGGGUCAGCGCAAGCGAAGCUCCUGAUCGAAGCCCCGGUAAACGGCGGCCGUAACUAUAACGGUCCUAAGGUAGCGAAAUUCCUUGUCGGGUAAGUUCCGACCUGCACGAAUGGCGUAAUGAUGGCCAGGCUGUCUCCACCCGAGACUCAGUGAAAUUGAACUCGCUGUGAAGAUGCAGUGUACCCGCGGCAAGACGGAAAGACCCCGUGAACCUUUACUAUAGCUUGACACUGAACAUUGAGCCUUGAUGUGUAGGAUAGGUGGGAGGCUUUGAAGCGUGGACGCCAGUCUGCGUGGAGCCGACCUUGAAAUACCACCCUUUAAUGUUUGAUGUUCUAACGUGGACCCGUAAUCCGGGUUGCGGACAGUGUCUGGUGGGUAGUUUGACUGGGGCGGUCUCCUCCUAAAGAGUAACGGAGGAGCACGAAGGUUGGCUAAUCCUGGUCGGACAUCAGGAGGUUAGUGCAAUGGCAUAAGCCAGCUUGACUGCGAGCGUGACGGCGCGAGCAGGUGCGAAAGCAGGUCAUAGUGAUCCGGUGGUUCUGAAUGGAAGGGCCAUCGCUCAACGGAUAAAAGGUACUCCGGGGAUAACAGGCUGAUACCGCCCAAGAGUUCAUAUCGACGGCGGUGUUUGGCACCUCGAUGUCGGCUCAUCACAUCCUGGGGCUGAAGUAGGUCCCAAGGGUAUGGCUGUUCGCCAUUUAAAGUGGUACGCGAGCUGGGUUUAGAACGUCGUGAGACAGUUCGGUCCCUAUCUGCCGUGGGCGCUGGAGAACUGAGGGGGGCUGCUCCUAGUACGAGAGGACCGGAGUGGACGCAUCACUGGUGUUCGGGUUGUCAUGCCAAUGGCACUGCCCGGUAGCUAAAUGCGGAAGAGAUAAGUGCUGAAAGCAUCUAAGCACGAAACUUGCCCCGAGAUGAGUUCUCCCUGAGACUUUAAGUCUCCUGAAGGAACGUUGAAGACGACGACGUUGAUAGGCCGGGUGUGUAAGCGCAGCGAUGCGUUGAGCUAACCGGUACUAAUGAACCGUGAGGCUUAACCUUACAACGCCGAAG
RNAcentral lists this ribosomal RNA (3028 nucleotides) under Salmonella enterica subsp. enterica. Its description in RNAcentral is "bacterial LSU rRNA". It matches the Rfam family "Bacterial large subunit ribosomal RNA". Lineage: Bacteria; Pseudomonadati; Pseudomonadota; Gammaproteobacteria; Enterobacterales; Enterobacteriaceae. The record is from RNAcentral.